UUGAACGCUGGCGGCAUGCAUGAGACAUGCAAGUCGAACGGACGGGCGAGCUUGCUCGCCCGUUAGUGGCGGACGGCUGAGUAACGCGUGGGUGACCUGCCCCGAAGUGGGGAAUAACUGCCCGAAAGGGUGGCUAAUACCGCAUGUGGUGACUGGUUCGUUCCAGUCUCCAAAGCCGCAAGGCGCUUCGGGAGGGGCCUGCGUCCGAUUAGCUCGUUGGUGGGGCAACGGCUCACCAAGGCGACGAUCGGUAGGUG
Molecule: ribosomal RNA, 257 nt
Filed under: uncultured bacterium
Lineage: Bacteria
Description: partial 16S ribosomal RNA
Rfam family: Bacterial small subunit ribosomal RNA
Source: RNAcentral